AUUGAACGCUGGCGGCAUGCCUUACACAUGCAAGUCGAACGGCAGCACGGGAGCAAUCCUGGUGGCGAGUGGCGAACGGGUGAGUAAUAUAUCGGAACGUGCCCAGUCGUGGGGGAUAACGUAGCGAAAGCUACGCUAAUACCGCAUACGAUCUAUGGAUGAAAGCGGGGGAUCGCAAGACCUCGCGCGAUUGGAGCUGCCGAUAUCAGAUUAGGUAGUUGGUGAGGUAAAGGCUCACCAAGCCGACGAGCUGUAGCUGGUCUGAGAGGACGACCAGCCACACUGGGACUGAGACACGGCCCAGACUCCUACGGGAGGCAGCAGUGGGGAAUUUUGGACAAUGGGCGCAAGCCUGAUCCAGCAAUGCCGCGUGCAGGAUGAAGGCCUUCGGGUUGUAAACUGCUUUUGUACGGAACGAAACGGUGAGCUCUAAUACAGUUUGCUAAUGACGGUACCGUAAGAAUAAGCACCGGCUAACUACGUGCCAGCAGCCGCCGUAA
Molecule: ribosomal RNA, 500 nt
Filed under: uncultured bacterium
Lineage: Bacteria
Description: partial 16S ribosomal RNA
Rfam family: Bacterial small subunit ribosomal RNA
Source: RNAcentral